CAGCUUUUCCGAACAGCAGUUUUUGGAAUUGCUUGUUCCGCCAAAGCACAGGACAUAUGAAAACAGAACAUAUAACGUCACGUACAUUUUAAAAGUUUCUACAAAAUUCACCUUAGAAAUCUCCGAAAUCAUAUAUAUAGCAAGCAUAACAUGCUAAACAUAAUAAUAUAUUAUAUAAUAUUUCAACUAUGCUUAAAAGUCUCCGAGAAAAAAAUGGUCUCCGUAAAAUUCAACACUUCGUUUAAGAAGAAUCUAAAAACAUACCAUAGCCAAGUAGGAUGGAAGUCAUGGAAGCUAAAAUAGCACAGAUAAAUGCAUACUUAUUUCUUUUAGGUUUUUUGGG
RNAcentral lists this long non-coding RNA (343 nucleotides) under Daucus carota (carrot). RNAcentral's name for it is "long non-coding RNA (DCAR_LNC000308)". Lineage: Eukaryota; Viridiplantae; Streptophyta; Magnoliopsida; Apiales; Apiaceae. The record is from RNAcentral.